UAUGAAUAAAAUUUGNAAUCUGGCGCCUUCGGUGUCCGAGUUGUAAUUUGAAGAUUGUAACCUUGGGGUUGGCUCUUGUCUAUGUUUCUUGGAACAGGACGUCACAGAGGGUGAGAAUCCCGUGCGAUGAGAUGCCCAAUUCUAUGUAAGGUGCUUUCGAAGAGUCGAGUUGUUUGGGAAUGCAGCUCUAAGUGGGUGGUAAAUUCCAUCUAAAGCUAAAUAUUGGCGAGAGACCGAUAGCGAACAAGUACAGUGAUGGAAAGAUGAAAAGAACUUUGAAAAGAGAGUGAAAAAGUACGUGAAAUUGUUGAAAGGGAAGGGUUUGAGAUCAGACUCGAUAUUUUGUGAGCCUUGCCUUCGUGGCGGGGUGACCCGCAGCUUAUCGGGCCAGCAUCGGUUUGGGCGGUAGGAUAAUGGCGUAGGAAUGUGACUUUACUUCGGUGAAGUGUUAUAGCCUGCGUUGAUGCUGCCUGCCUAGACCGAGGACUGCGAUUUUAUCAAGGAUGCUGGCAUAAUGAUCCCAAACC
RNAcentral lists this ribosomal RNA (527 nucleotides) under Meyerozyma guilliermondii. RNAcentral describes it as "eukaryotic LSU rRNA". It matches the Rfam family "Eukaryotic large subunit ribosomal RNA", at positions 102 to 646 of the family's 3401-position model. The record is from RNAcentral. Lineage: Eukaryota; Fungi; Ascomycota; Pichiomycetes; Serinales; Debaryomycetaceae.